This 385-nucleotide ribosomal RNA is filed under the name Tetrastemma persona. Its description in RNAcentral is "partial large subunit ribosomal RNA". It matches the Rfam family "Bacterial large subunit ribosomal RNA", at positions 1927 to 2569 of the family's 2925-position model. Lineage: Eukaryota; Metazoa; Nemertea; Enopla; Monostilifera; Tetrastemmatidae. The record is from RNAcentral.
ACAGCUGCGGUAAUUUGACCGUGCAAAGGUAGCAUAAUCAUUUGCCUCAUAAUUGGGGGCUGGAAUGAAUGGAAUUUCAAGAUGUAAGCUUUAUUUGAAAAAAUUAAUGAAUUUGUUUUUUAGGUGAAGAAACUUAAAUUUUUAUAUGGGACAAGAAGACCCUUUUGAGCUUUAUUACUGUUAUUUUUUUUUUUUAUUGGUAAUUUGAUUGGGGCGAUCAAGGAAGUAGCUAUCUUCCUUUAGAUACUUGAUCCAAGUUUUUUGAUUAAUUGAAUAAGUUACCAAAGGGAUAACAGCGUAAUUUUUUUUGAGAGUUCUUAUUAAAAAAAAAGAUUGCGACCUCGAUGUUGACUUAUAAUUUCCUUUUGGUGUAGCUGCUAAGUGG